Molecule: ribosomal RNA, 253 nt
Filed under: uncultured bacterium
Lineage: Bacteria
Description: partial 16S ribosomal RNA
Rfam family: Bacterial small subunit ribosomal RNA
Source: RNAcentral
UACGUAGGUGGCAAGCGUUGUCCGGAUUUACUGGGUGUAAAGGGCGUGUAGCCGGGAAGGCAAGUCAGAUGUGAAAUCUGGAGGCUCAACCUCCAAACUGCAUUUGAAACUGCUUUUCUUGAGUGUCGGAGAGGUAAUCGGAAUUCCUUGUGUAGCGGUGAAAUGCGUAGAUAUAAGGAAGAACACCAGUGGCGAAGGCGGAUUACUGGACGAUAACUGACGGUGAGGCGCGAAAGCGUGGGGAGCAAACAGG